UACGUAGGGGGCGAGCGUUGUCCGGAGUUACUGGGCGUAAAGCGCUUGUAGGCGGUCCACCAAGUUUGGGGUGACAGUUGCCGACUUAAUCGGCAAAGUGCCUCAAAGACUGGCGGACUUGAGGGCCACAGAGGGACAUGGAACUCCGGGAGUAGCGGUGAAAUGCGUAGAGACCCGGAGGAACACCAGUGGCGAAGGCGGCGUCCUGGCCUGCGACUGACGCUGUGGCGCGAAAGCUAGGGGAGCGAACGGG
This 253-nucleotide ribosomal RNA is filed under the name uncultured bacterium. RNAcentral's name for it is "partial 16S ribosomal RNA". It matches the Rfam family "Bacterial small subunit ribosomal RNA", at positions 524 to 776 of the family's 1533-position model. The record is from RNAcentral.